RNAcentral lists this ribosomal RNA (429 nucleotides) under Chloroflexota bacterium. Its description in RNAcentral is "Chloroflexi bacterium partial 16S ribosomal RNA". It matches the Rfam family "Bacterial small subunit ribosomal RNA", at positions 355 to 776 of the family's 1533-position model. Lineage: Bacteria; Bacillati; Chloroflexota. The record is from RNAcentral.
UGGGGAAUAUUGCACAAUGGGCGCAAGCCUGAUGCAGCCAUGCCGCGUGUGUGAAGAAGGCCUUCGGGUUGUAAAGCACUUUCAGCGGGGAGGAAGGCGGUGAGGUUAAUAACCUCAUCGAUUGACGUUACCCGCAGAAGAAGCACCGGCUAACUCCGUGCCAGCAGCCGCAGUAAUACGGAGGGUGCAAGCGUUAAUCGGAAUUACUGGGCGUAAAGCGCACGCAGGCGGUCUGUCAAGUCGGAUGUGAAAUCCCCGGGCUCAACCUGGGAACUGCAUUCGAAACUGGCAGGCUAGAGUCUUGUAGAGGGGGGUAGAAUUCCAGGUGUAGCGGUGAAAUGCGUAGAGAUCUGGAGGAAUACCGGUGGCGAAGGCGGCCCCCUGGACAAAGACUGACGCUCAGGUGCGAAAGCGUGGGGAGCAAACAGG